CACAAACAUUACAAAGAUAACAACCUGAAGGACAGUUUGUGUGCUUUAACAGUUUGCUAAAUGUCUUUGUUUUAACUUUCAUCUGUGCUAAGUAACUUUAGCUCGUAAGCUAACCUGUUCAGAUACAACAUACCAUAUGUAUUUUCACUGUCUCAAACUUAAUCGUGUUGCUGUCACAGCACCAUUAGGUCUCGGUUGUUACCUUACGUUUAUGGAUUAUAGUUUAAUGUGCUUAUCUGGUACUGGCCCCGACUCAGUACAUGCUAUCAUGACAGACAGACAUCUCAACACUAGAGUCUAAUCAGAACUGAAAAACAGUCAGUCUAGUGUUGUGUCAGUCUUCUCGCUUCCACUCGGGACGUGUCUUUUUUUCCCCCCGGAAAGCCGCAAAAUCGCAUCGGGCUUGAUGUGUAUAGUCAGGCACGUCAAAAUUCGCCUUCGAAUAUAUCGUAAUUUCGCGUUGGAUAUUUGCGUUGGUCCCAGUGUGUAAGGACCUUUAGACUGCAGCUAUCAGCUCUGCAGACACACAAUAUUGGCAUUAACCAGGGCAAGAUGAUAAUGAAGUGUCGGAGGAGCAGGUAGAGUGGAACAGCACUGUGUGUGUGUGCAUUUAGGAGUCUAUGAGGAGCUCCCAUUGUAUGUUUACAAGCCAUACCUCCCUUGCCUCUGAACUGCUGUAAUGCAAAGUAAAAUCAUGCGUUGAUACAUAACACUUUGUCAAGUUGCACUGCAUGAGUACAAAAGUGCAGCUACGGUGGAAUUUAUGCAUUUGCAUUAGGAAGAGGCCUUUGAGUUUGCAUGAAUUUGACUAUUUUAUUUGAUGUGAUGGGUAUUAGUUACAGACACUUAAACCCAAUCAAAUCAAAGUUUCAUUUCUUUGCCGACUGCACGCAACAGCAAAAAUUCUGCCUUUACUUUAAGACUGACAAAAACAAGAGACUGCAAGAACUCAACAAUGGCAGAGCAGUCUUUCUGUGUUUCAAACUACUGAAACACUCUUGAAGUUGCAGAAAGUAAUCUGACUUCAAGUUAAAUGAAAAGAUACAGAGUAACUUGAGUAACUUCAUACUGCUCACAAAUGAAAUGCCAAACUGAGUUCAAGUCUGAUAAAUAUCAGUAUUAUGCUGCUUGGGCCACACUUGGGUGCAGGGUUAAAGAGGUAAGGGGGGCUGAAAGAGGAAACUGCCAGCGUGUGUGCUGCAAACAGAGCCCUAAAAUAGUCCCUACUGAGUCAGCAGUGAUCAGAGCACUUCUAACAGUCAGAGAAAUGAAGCUCUGGCUGGCUGCUGUGACUACUUUGGACUUAUUAAUUUAAAUAUGGCUGGAGGUGCAGUCGCUCUGCAGCUUUGAAGUGCCUGUCCAACAGAUUUGUACUUUGCACUGACAUAACUCUGCCUUAGCCUCCUUUUUAUGAAUCUGCACACAGGAGCUGUUUAAAAAAAGAAUAAAAUGUGAGACACGGGGACAUUAAUUUUAAUCAAACAUAAUCCAGAUUUCCUGAUUUGCACACGCGGCUAUGUUAAAGUUUUGUGUGCACAUUAGCAAUGCAGAGCAGAGUGGCUCCAUCGGUAUUCAUGCAGCGAGUCUGUCUGCGGCACGAGUGGAAUAAAGAUGCGUUUGAUUCACACAGAGGUGCCCUAACAUUUGCACUCGCGUCCUCAAGCUGUGAAAGUCUGCGGCACUCAACUGUGAUACGGCCACCGCUCGUCUGAGGCUGUCCGUCAAACACAGAGAGGAAGAGAGAGGAUUUCAGUGAGUUAGAGUUAUCUGUGUGAGUGACACUUCAGAUGAUGAUGUUAGCAAAGACAGAGCUCACUGAUAUGAGCUAAUGAUCUCAACACAAGUACCUCCCCCCAGCCAAGAAAUACCAUGACACAAAAAACUUACCCGAGCAAAAAGUGAGGGAAAAGUACUACAAGAACAAGUCUCCAAUUGGUGAGUACGAUAUACAAUAAUGGAAUAUUACGACCUAUCCAUGUUGUAGGCAACAAGGACAUCAUAAAACGUGGCAACGAAAAAAAAAAUCAGCUUUUGUACAUUUGUUAACUUUUUCCCAAGAAGAGCUGGUCAUAAACUCAUCUAUGGAAAACUCCAUGUCAGUUUAACACUAUCUUACACCAUGCAGAAAGUUUAUCUUAAAGACUUAGAAAAAAUGAGGAAAUCUAAGCUUUUUAGUCUGUUAUCUCCUUCAACUCAAGAAGAAACACCAAUUUUGAUACUCUCUGGAGUAUAAAACAUGAAACUUUUAUAAGACUGUCUUUGGAAAAAAAAGCAAAAAAAAACUCCAUGAACCCUCAAACUGAAAAAGUAUGAGGACCAUAAUUUUCUGGACGUUUUUUUUUUUUUUUUCCCUCAACUACUUUUCUAUCUUUUUUUUUGUGUGUGUGUGCAGGUGACAUGCACCUAAAUCAGACACGUGUUUACUCUCCUGCAUCUUUUAUUGGGUAACCAACUGGCACAUCGAAUGUGAUGCCCCCCAGAGACUGUUAUCCUCAUUACCACCCCGGAUAUAGAAAAAAGUCGCUAAAGUAACCAGGACUGUCCUCCCCUAAAUCACUAUGAUCAGUCACUUAUAGAAAGCAUCUGGUUGACCAUAUUAUCAAUAAUUGGUGACCUCUAGUGGUGGGGCCGGUUAUGACAGGAAGUAAAGUCAUGUGACACUGUGUGAAGGUCAGUUUUCUAGGAGCUCAGCUGACAGCUUUUUAUUAAUAGAUAGAUAGAUAGAUAGAUAGAUAGAUAGAUAGAUAGAUAGAUAGAUAGAUAGAUAGAUAGAUAGAUAGAUGUAAAAAAAUGCAGUAGUUUGUAGUUUCUCAUGCAAGUUAAGAUUUAUGAGAUUACUAUUGUCAUUUUGUGGCCUUAUCUUGUAAAUUUCUGAAUGUAUUCAUGUGUUCAUGUUUUUUCUUUCAAAUCCACAGUUUUUGUUUUCAUUUUACAAGUCAAUCCUUGUCAAUGUGAUUUUAAUCUCAUAAAUCAUCGAUUCUUUUGGAUUCACAUUUUGACCCUGACUUUAUUCCCGUUAAGUUGUAGCUUUUCUAAAAUUUUUGGUAUCAUUUAUGAAAUCUCGGUUUCAUAUUUUUCUUUUGGCCCCUUCUCUUAACUGUUCUUUCACAGGGUUUCAGAACAGGAGAGAACUUUUGAGUUGGGUUCAUUAAUAUUUGAUUUGCAAGUUUCAGUUGAGAUGACAUCUUUAAAUCAGAAAGUUGUAAAUGUACGCUUUUUGAUGAGAUUGCAGCACUGGUAUGUUUCAUGCAUAUUCAUUGAUGGUGUACAUUUUUCCAUGCAUUUGUUGUAAUUUCCUUUUAUCAAGCUGUCAGCUGGUCCUAAAUACUGCAGCCCAAGUGCUGACCAGAACCAGGAGAAGAUUGUGGACUAAGUGCCUUUUCUUUGUCACAGGCUUUUCCAAUGAAUUUAUCCGUAGACUAAUCUAAAACAAACAAACAAACAAAAAAAAAAUUGGUGAGAUGUGUCUGCAUGGACAUUUGCUGUACUUUAUUUUGCAUGAAGUAGAUGCACAUUAAUAUGUUUGAUAUGAAAAGAGAGAAAUCAUGAUGACCACUUCACACACCUGCAGAAAAUACCGUCGCAUUUAAAGCGAUGUAUGGGAAAAUAUGCAGACAGGGGCGUAGAGUACUGCUUCUUUAGGGCCCGAGCGUAGCUGCUAAGCAGCUGCGAGAGCCCUCUUGUUCCUGAUGGAUUCUUCUUUUGUUAUUAUUAUUAUUAUUUUUCCUCCGCUUUAAACUGGAAAAUGGCCCACUUCCCACUGGCGAAAACUCAUGAAAUUUGGCAGGACGACCGGGCCUGGUGAAAAAUUCGAUAUUCUGAAGUCGCCCAAACAAUAAAAUGCAAAAUGGCUCCAUAGCGCCCCCUAAGGUGGAAAUUCACACUAUUGACUGUCACGUCUGUACGUUUUGUCAUAUUGACACAAAAUUUGACACACACAUGUAUCUCAAUAAGAUCUACAAAAAAGUCAGUGCGGGCGUAUCUGUCAAAUGUACGGUUAAAGGGUUAUUUCGCAUUUUUUGCCGAUCCGCACACAUUGGAAUUUCGCUAACUCCUCCGAAGGCUUUCGUUCCACCGGCACCACAUUUGCUCAGGCCAAUCUACACCCCAUGGCCAUUAAAAGUUGUACAAAUCAUGACGCUGCACCCCACGGUUUAGGUUCUAGGGGGCGCCAAAGAUAACCCAAAAAUCCACAUUCUUAAAAGUCUUAUAACUUUUUAUUUUUGUCCUCACUGCCCUCCAAGUUUUCUAGGAUGAUGCAAUGUCCAGCCAUCAACACAUUUGUGAAGGAAUUUUUACUCCCCAAAAGAGCGCCCCCCCAUGGCAGGAGAAAAAAGUCAAUUUUUUCUUGUCCCCUUACAUGAAAAUACACAUUGUUGAGUGUCACGCCUUAACGCUUUGUCAUAUUGACACAAAAAUUGACAAUCAUGUGUAUCUCAAUUAGAUCUACGAAAAAGUCAAAGAGCGCGUAUCUGUAUAAUGUACGGUUAAAGGGCUAUUUCGCAUUUUUUGCCGAUUCGCACACAUUGGAAUGUGGCUAUCUCCUCCUAAGGCUUUCGUCCCACUGAUACCAAAUUUGCUCAGGGCAAUCUACACCCCAUGCCCAUUCAAAGUUGUAAAAAUCAUGACGCUGCACCCCACGGUUUACGUUCUAGGGGGCGCCAAAGAUGACCCAAAAAUCCACAUUCUUAAAAGUCAUUUUGGCCACUGCAGGAGUACAGAGUACUGCAGUUCUAGGGGGCGCCAAAGAUGACCCAAAAAUCCACAUUCUUAAAAGUCUUUUUGGCCACUGCAGGAGUACAGAGUACUGCAGGAUACACACACAUAUACACACACGCCAACACACACACACACACACACACACACACACACUCACAGUCUGUUUUUUAGCACCUGCAAAAACAUGCUGUUUACAUAUUUGACAAGAAUGCAGAGGCUUCCUUUUGCCCCUGAAAAAAAUCAAAUUUCAAACACAACUUGACUGUUCAUUUCUCCAAAAGACAACCAUGAAUCUCCAUCCAAACCUGAAGCAGAUAGUUGGUGCAUGUGUACAGUAACCUAAGGGGAGUGAGGUGACUAUUUCUGAGGAGAACAUGAGCAGUGAAGAUUCACCUUGGAGCUAGAACAGGGACGUGCACAUGAUUAUACAGGGGCAGGGGCUCAAGUUUUUUCCAGUCAUUUAUACAAUAUGGAAAUUAAUGUGAAAUUAAAAAACAAAGUAUUAAUAGAAAGGUUAUGACUGUCCUGUGUAGAUGACAGUGAUAUCCAAUAGGCUAGGCACUCACGAGGCUGGCUGUGGCAAGUGUAAGUGAAAGCAACACGCACUGGCAGGAAGAACAGCAAACGCCGAUGAAGGAAAGGGUCUUUGCAGUGAUGGGCGUUAGCAGAGAGGACGAUGGCCAGAGGACGCGAAUGGGACGGGGAGGCAGCGCGUUGGGGGGGGCAGCGCGACACGGCUCGGGCCCGCCAGUGCCCCAACGGGGCCCUAGUUUGUGCACUUGUUUCCCUUGUCUAUAAAGCCAUGUGAUGUGCUUAAGUGUUUGUGAUCAGAGGGAGGAGUAAAUUAGAUUAUUAAGUGCUUUAACAGCCUGUGUUUCAUGAGGUAAUAAUAAGUAUAUUUGGUGAUAAUUAUGAAGAAGUAUCUGUGGAUGCUCUCUCUCUCUCUCUCUCUCUCUCUCGUAGGCUCUCAUUAGAUAAUCACUGACUCAUCCUUUACUGAGGAGGCACACUGCUGUUCAUUCAGCUCCAUGUAGUGGAGUGUUUAAUUAUUGUUCACUGAUGCCUACUCAUGUAUGCAGAGUGUAAGACAGAAUUACAACAGGAGCAGCAGCAGGGUGUAAAACAGAUGAUAAACCAGAGAGUGACUCCUUCAGAAACACCGUCGUAAAGUCCACUCACAGGCACCCUUGGAUAUAAGGUAAUACAGGUAAUUUUAACUUUAGGCUCUACUUUUUACAACUACAGGGGUCUGCAUGACUUAUAGGGAUGUCCGCAGUAGAGUUCUCCCUCUUGCAGCAGGUGAACAGGCUGUAAUGGCUGCGGCAUUAUCGUUGAUGGAUCAAAGUGUGUCACUAGAAGAUCUUAUUUUGGUCCCUGACAGGCUAAGAAUGUUAAUCUAAGUGUCUGACAGCAUUAUAGAAAGAAUAACAGUGGUUUUUUUAAACCAGGGAUAGACUUUAAACCUCUAUUUCUUUAAAAAAAAUUAAAGGACUGAAUUAGGGAUUUUACCCGGCACCUUACAGGGGUUGCUAGUCCUCCUUAAUGUGUUUUUUUUUUUUUUUAAUUAUUAUUAUUUCUGUUAGUGUUUGUUGUAGUGUGACUUUUGUAAUCUGAAGGGUAAAUUUGGAUUCAAAACAAUUUUUGUAUUAAAGAAAAAGUCAGCCCCAAACUUUUCAAGGCGAGGGUAGACCAGCAACUCCCAUUUCCUGCAAAUUAAAAUAACUGUUUUGGUCAAUAUAGUCUAUUCAUUUCACAGAGCAACAUGUUUUGGACAGUUUUCAAUAUUUGCCUGAUUCUCAGCCACGAGGAGACAUCUUGUUCUAUAUCCAGGAGUUGUUGGUCUACCUCUGUGUUGCUUUUUUUUGCUAUUUAGCCAUUUAAUUUUCACAUAUUGUCUGGUUUUAAGUAGUUUCUCUAUUUUUACUAAAAUAUAAGAGAGAAAACAUCUUAUUGUGUAUCUGUGUAUCUUGUUGGCCUACUUGUCUCAGUUUAUUAGUUUUUUUUAAUAUGCAAUUCCAUAGAUAGUCUGAAUGCAACAAAAUAUAUCAGGGCAGAGGUAGAUCAGCGACUCCUUUGUUCCCUGAGGUGAAAUCACUGUUUUGGUCAACAGAAUCUUUUUAUUUUAAAACAGAGCAACAACUUUUGGACACUUUCCCAAACUUUCCCCUUCUGAGCAAAAAAAAAUAAGGUGAUGGAUAUUUGGGAGUUAGCAGUCAACCUUAAUCAAUAAGUUUGUUGUGUUAUGUAGUUUUAAAUAGUUAGCUUGGUUCCAGAUUAAGCUAACAAGAGUUUUUGUCAAAAAACAACAACAAAAAAAUCAAAAGAUGGCAUCGACAGAUCAUCAGCUCCUAUGUUCAAUGGGAUAAUAUGACUGACGUUAAAAUGGAGUUUUGAAAACCUGUAAUUCAUUAAGAAAAUAAACAUCAGCAAAAAAAUAAAUAAAAAAUCCAAACCACUAAAUACGGCUAAAAAGCAAUAAAAAGCUGCCGACAUCGGUGGGACUGAGGAGUCGAUGCUGCAGAGAAACAGAGCUGUCCUAACGAAGCCCGAGGCCUGAGUGUCACAUUAUUCAUCUGCAUCAAUUUAGCCCCAAAUAUAUUUGAUUUCUGCCCCACUUGUUCAUGCACAGAAGAAAAAAAGAUGUUAUCUCAUACAGGAAAAUUACUCCUAUCUCCAUAUUUUGGAAAAUGAAGUUAUCUCCUUUCCAAAAUUGGUUCCAGAUGUCAUGUGCAGCUUCUUUUUUCAUCAUUAUGCAGACAAUAGAUGUGAUCUUUUGGUUAUGACUCUUAUUUUCAGAGAUUUUUCCAUUUUUUAGGGUGUCUUGGGGCAGUAAAAAGUAGGCCAGUUGCAGAUAUCACUUUUUUAAAAUGUGAUGUGUACAUGCAGUCAUGACAUUGGUUUCAUCACAGCUGUGGGACAAAAAAAGAGGGAUCUUAGCUUGGUAAGGUCAGAGAAAUUUAUAUAAAAUCCCUGUAGAAUUAAUCUGUGGUGACCCGUGUCCAGACGAGGGAAACUGAGUACCAAAUAUUUUGUCCGCCAUUAGGAGUCUGUUUGAGCUACGCUUUGUGUGGUCCCUCCCCCAGGACCUGUUUGCCUUGGGUGACCCUACCAGAGGCAUAAAGCUCCUGACAACAUAGCUUCUGGGAUCACAGGGACACACAAACCCCUCCACCUCUGGAAGCGUACACUGAAAGAAAACAAAGGCGUUAGUGAUGAAUUGGUAAUGAAUGUAUCACUCUGUUAUUAAAUGAAUGGAUUAGAAAAGUUUAUUACAACUGAUUCUUUAACAAUUAACCAAUAAAACACUUCCAGAUAGUUAAAACCAACAAAAGGGAAGCAAGAGCCAGCAAGAGGGAGGCAGUCUACCAAAGGAAGUGUCCCAAGAGUAAACUUACCCACCAAACGUGAACUCACUACAAACCAGCGUAGACUAUGGUGCCCCAGUGCGCCUACCACUGCAACAAAAGGUGCGGGGAACCACUCAAUGUGCCCAGCCUCCACUGCACUGUAAAGGACGAGAAAGAAAAGUUAUACAAAGAAAUAAUAAAAACUGUGUAAAAAUUACUAAAUUUCAAAAAAAAAAAAGAAAAGAAAAAAAGUUUGUUCUACCAAGAUAGUUAAUUACAAUCAAAUGACUAAAAUGCUGACUAAACAAAAACAAAACAAACUCUAAAAGACAAAAACAGCGGCCUAUUGUGUCUGUUUGGGUACAUUUAUCCAGGGGCCUAUUCUACGAAGCAAGUUCAACCUAGCGAGGUAACCUUGGAGCUACCUCGCUCAACUUAGCGCGGUAGCCAGCAGUCUCGCUGAACAGUUUUACGAUGCUGGUUAUCAGCCUCAUAAGUGGAUCCAGCUUUGCUAUGAGUGUGUGCACGCAUGUAAGGUGGAGCCCGCCACAUCUGACCAAUCGCGAACAUAGACCGGUCUGGAGCGUCAGAGCAGGCCUGAGAGCGAAGGACCGCACACUUUACAAACGAGGAGCAGAAGAUGAAAGUAUGAAGAAUUCAAAUCUAUCAUAAACCUCAAAAGCAACACCGUCGCCGCUGCAAAAGCACGGAAGGAAUGCUGGCAGAAAAUUGCAGACAGUCUCAAUGCGUAAAUAUAGUGCGCAAAAAAUCUUUGAUGCUAUUAUCACCCAUGCGCUUUUAACAUGCAUCAGACAUGUCUAAUUCAUUUCCAAGAUGAAUUCAUUCAUUUGUUCAUUCCUAUCGUGUUUACAUUUUUUUGUGUGAUAUGUAGGCCAUAUGAGCCUUUCAUAAAGGUGGUCAUCCGGAAAAGUAAGUGGGUCCGUGCGAUUACCACUUUAAAAGAUACAAAAAUGCAAUUUCAACCUGCAGCUACAGAGAAGAACAGGCUCCCUAAAGUGCUGCACAUUCACGACUUGUAUUUUGAAAACCGCAAACAGCUCCAAUCUUCAUCAUCUGCAGAGACUCUGACAGCUUCCCGCUCAGAGCCACACUGCAACAGAUUAAACGAUUUUUUUUUUUUUAAGAUACUCGUGGAUGUCUUUAUCUCUGCUCUCAACAGGAAGCCGAGGCUGUGCUGCUCUGCUGUUUUCAGAGACGCUCUGCAGAGAAACAGGGAAAAUAUCAGAAUCGUUAGCAGGAUGUAUCUGCAGGAGGGAGGACAACGUCAGGACGAGAAAAACCAAAGACUAAAUCUGCUGGAGAGGUUUUAAGCUGAAGGCUGAAAAAGAAGCAGGAAGAUGUUUUGAUGUCUCUGUUUUAACACUCAGUUUAGACCACAAACCUUUUAAAGACUCAGAAGCUUUUUCCUUGUAGAUUCAAGAAGAAGUGGCUGGAUGAGUGAAGCAGCAGAGACUUUUUUCUUUGUUUAUAUUAGUUGCAUAACUGUUGUCUGACAGCUGCAGUAUUCUGAAAACUAACUGGGCACAUAGUUUAUUUAUUAAAUCUAUAAACCCUGACUAUAAAUUGCACAUUUACUGUCACCUCCUCUGCAGAGCCCUGCAUGAGUAAAUCCGCCGAGAGUAAACCUGCAGCUUAAAAUUUUGAAUAUUCAGCUCAUUAAUUACGCAGUCUAACUUUUUAAAAACAAAAACAUUUGUAUGUCCGUUUAUAGAGAAGUAUUAAUCAUAAAGUCAAUAUUUUGUCAAUAUUUUUUUCGAACCCGUAUCCUGUCAAUACAAGCGUUCCUAUUAGAUAGAUAGAUAGAUAGAUAGAUAGAUAGAUAGAUAGAUAGAUAGAUAGAUAGAUAGAUAGAUAGAUAUACUUUAUUGAUCCCAAACUGGGAAAUUCUCUUAAAAUUGGUAACGCUUCACGAAUUUGCGUGUCAUCCUUGCACCAGGGGCCAUGCUAAUCUUUUCUGUAUCCAGCAACGUUUUUCCAUCCAGGGUUAUUGCGGCAUUUAUUUUUUUGGAUCGUUGGUUGAUUUUUUUAAGUUUCGCAUACUGUGUGUCCACUUCUGACUAAUCAGUUUGUGUGUUGUUGCAACGUCAGAUUCGCCGGUAUGUCCAACAUGGCCGACCGGCUGAUUGUUUACGUGUCGGAGAACAGAGUGCUUUUUGAUAAAAAACACAAAUAUUACAAAGAUAACGACCUGAAGGACAACUUGUAGAGAGUCAUAGUGUCGGAUUUCUCAUAUGACGAUGGUUUGUGUGCUUUAACAGUUUGCUAAACGUCUUUGUUUUAACUUUCAUCUGUGCUAAGUAACUUUAGCUCGUAAGCUAACCUGUUCAGUUACAACAUACCAUAUGUAUUUUCACUGUCUCAAACUCAAUCACGUUGCUGUCACAGCACCAUUAGGUCUCGGUUGUUACCUUACGUUUAUGGAUUAUAGUUUAAUGUGCUUAUCUGGUACUGGCCCCGACUCAGUACAUGCUAUCAUGACAGACAGACAUCUCAACACUAGUGUCUAAUCAGAACUGAAAAACAGUCAGUCUGCUGUUGUGUCAGUCUUCUCGCUUCCAACCCGGAUGCGUCUUUUUUCCCCUCCGGAAAAGUCGCAAAAUCGCAUUGGGCUUGAUGUGUAUAGUCAGUUGCGUCAAAAUUCGCCUUAGAAUACUUUGUGAUUUCGCAUACCAUAUUCGCGACGUGUGUAAGGACCUUUAGCCCAAACUGAUGAGCGUAUUUACGUUGAUUGUUAUUGUGCCAAAUUAGCCAUGUUUACAUGGCUAAUUUGGCUUGAAUAAAUGCCCGCACAAAUAAAUGGUCGGGAUAAAAAUGCAUCAAGGAAACAUACCGAUCAGAAAAUUCUCAUCCAAUUCGGCUCAAUCAGAAAGAAAUUGUAUUCCGAUCGAGACGAGUGGUUUAUGCCGAUUGUUAUUCCAAAACGCGUCCAUGUAAACACUUAUUCUGAACAUAACUCUCUUACCUGACUGGGUCUUCACUCUUUAACCUUUAGCUUAUUUAUUUAGGCCAGUACAGGAGGUUUCAUUAUUAACACUCUGGUGUACAACACAACUGCAGGUGCCGUGUCUGCUCCUCCGGUAACAUAACAAGGCGUACAUACAGCGAAAUGAUGUCACAUCUGCCUGACAGAGCAACCUUCGACAGAACAGUAAACUAAAUAUGCAAGGGCGCCAUCUAGUAACAACAUUUAAUUGAGGGAAAAAAACAGUAUUGAAUUAAGUGAGCCACUACUGCGUUUGUUGGUUUGUUAACAGCACAGGCGUCAAUACAACUCUUCUUCUGCAUUUGUUUUACUGAAAAUAGAGAACUCUGCACAUGUCAAAAUGCUUCUAAUCUGAAUAAAACUUGGUGCAUGUAUAUGCAUGUCAUGAUCGGAUUAUUUGAUUUUGCACCCAUUGUAAACAGUGGAUUCAGAUUAUCCGAUUUUAAUCCGAUCAAGAAAUUUUGCCCGUGUAAACGUGGCUCUGUUCAGCUCUUGCAGGUGCAGGUUUGGGUUAAAGCUGAAUUAUUUAAACACACGUCUUCACUUUCCUGCAGGAUUCUGACGGACAUUUCUGAAAACUAAAGCAGUUGUCAUUCUUGUGAUGUAUUUCUCAGCUCUCAAGACAUUUCACUGAUAAAGCUUUAAAUUAAACAUGAUCUCCGGAUGUUUCUUUGAACAGCGCACACACGCCUCCACCAUGUUCGCUGCUGCCUUUGACCUUUGUGGUUCAGUCUGGUUUUAUCUCUGCACACCGCCGGCCUGCACAAUAUGUCUUUCACGCCACUGCGGCUCUCCACUGCUUAUCAGUCUGAGCGCAGAAUAAUGGAGCAAAAAAAGCUUCUGUUUGAGAUUGAUAAAGGAAGAGAGAGCGCUUUCCCCAUCAAACACUCAGGCUUAUCUGAGACGCUCGUCUGGAGAGGUGGUCGAAUGGCGUGUUUGCUCUGAAGAGCCCAUCCGGCCUGUGUGAGUGUUCAGAGAGGUGCAUUGAGUCCCAGCUCCUGAACACACCGUAUUUAUUAAACAUCAGGGUGUCGCCUCAGAGCCGCUCCUCUGUACUGAACAGAUGGUCAGACCAUCAGUGUGGUGCUGAAACAAUGGCUGCUCUGAGACUGGGCUAUAGAGAGGUGCUUGUCGGAAAUAGGCCAGCUCAAAUCGGCCUAAAGUGACAUAGAAAGCUCUCAUUGUGUUAUUGUGAGCAGCCACAAGAGUAUGUGUGUGUGUGUGUGUUUGUGUGUGUGUGUGUGUGCAGACUACUCACGCUGAGAACAUCCAUUUAAAGAAAAAUCAGCAGAAAAUGCACAGACUGGAGGCUCUCUGCAGGUGAGGCCCGUUUAGUUUGAUGUAUUCUUUCUGCUGCUGCACUUUGGAGGACUGUUUGUUUAGCAGCUCCACCAGAAAGGGUUCAGUCGAAAGGGGACACUAAUAUUUUUAACAUCUGCUCUCUAGGUUGAUAGAUUUAGGUUUCAAAUGGGACAAAAAGUUUUGCUGGGUUGAUUCUGGAGCAGGUAAACUGGCUGUAAUGUCCUCACCAUUUAUCUAACUCUGCCAACUAAAGGUCAUAGUUUCUUUUGUCCCUUGCAGGCUCAGGUAGUUAUUCUCAGGGUCUGAAGACAUCACAGGAAGGAUCCCUUAUUUUAUUUGUUUUUAUUGGCCCUGGAAACUAACCCUGCACAAAGUUUUCAUGAACAUUUAAACAUUUAAAAAAAAAUCUGUUUUAUAUCAGGUUACAUUAACUAAGACUUUCUAAACCUUUUAAGAAAUUGUAUGAAUCUUAAAAAAACAGUUUUUUUUUAAUUUUGUUGACAUUGCAUAUUGUGUUUUUUUUUCAUAUUUAUGAAUAUUUUUUAAAGUUGAGGACAAGUUUUGGCUUUUCUGGAACAUUAAAUAUUAUUUUAAAAUAAUUUUAAAUUUUAUAAAGUUUUUAAAGUUUUUAUUCGUUACAUAUUUGAGUGUUACAUAUAUAUUUUGCACAAUUUGUUUUCUAGGAUUUUUAUAGGUUGAACAAAAUGUUUUUGUCUCAUAUUUUGUAAAUUUGUGAAUAUAACAUUUAAUAAAUAUUUUUUGGAUUUUCUUUUUACAUAAUGUGAUUGUUUUUGUUUUGUAAAAGAUUUUUAUACUUAAGUGUUUCAAAAAAACAUUUCUAUAUUUCAGAUGAUGAUGAUGAUGAUGAUGAUGAUGCACAAACAAUCCAUGUUGCAUGAAACUUUUUCUUUAUUCAUUUUUUACAUUUUUUUUAAUCUUUUCUACAUUUUGUAAUUUUCCAAAUUUUUUUAGACUUUUUAUUUCUUAUUUGUCAAUGUCAAUGUCAGCUUUAUUUAUAUAGCACUUUUAAAAACAGCCAGUGGCCUACCAAAGUGCUUUACAGUAAAAUAGCCAGAGACCAUAAAAACAAUAAAAGCAUAAAAUAUAUUAAAACAUAAAACAACAAUAUAGAUAAACAUAGCACAUACAUAAAAUACCCAAUAAAUGUAGCUAUACUUCCCCAAAAGUUAAAGUAAACAGGUGCGUCUUCAGAAGUGUUUUAAGAGUGGAAAGGCUGUUAGCAGUGCACACUUUAGGAGGCAAAGCGUUCCACAAAGUGGGAGCCAUGACAGAAAAUGCUCUAGCUCCUCUCAAUUUUAAAAAGGAUUGAGGAACGUCUAAAACCACCUGACUAGCUGAUUUGUUUGUUUUAUUAGUGAAACCUUUGAUGGAAUAAUGUUAAGUUUCUUGAAACGUCUCUGAGUCUGAACAAAUCCUUUUAUUUUUAUUUUUAUUUAUUUUUUUGAGUUCUAUAUUUAGGGUUAAGAAACGUUGCAGUUGACUCCAGGGCCACCAUACCACACAAACAUUGCUUUCCUGAAAGCCUCCAGGCUUACUCUGUAAAAACAGUGAUUUUACUCUGAAGGUUACGGAGUUGGUUUUUUGCUUUUUCCGCCUUCAGACGUCUUUAAAAAUGAUGUUGCAGCCACAACAGUUUAUCUGCUACUCGAUGAGGAAAUCUUGACUCAAGCACUUUGUGAAAUGUUUGCAAAUGUCUACUGGACUCUAAAAUGUUUUAAAUAAGGACCUCAUUGAUGUCUGGUGAACAGCUGACCUAAUGAAAUGUUAAAUUUUCUUGUUCUGUCUGCAGCUUCAAUGAUUACAGCUGAAUGGCUCAUUUUUACAGCUGUUAUCAGCUCCUCUGUGGCCACACCUGCUUCAUUAUUUCGGUCUCAAAUGAGGAAAUGUAGGGGUAAACAGAAAUUGGACUCAGGUUUUGUACACUCUGUACUGCCUGAACACUGUGGGCAGUCGGUGGGUGCUGCAGACCAACAGGAGCUGCUGCUGCUGCUGCUGCUCUUACAGGUGUUUGUUUGUAACUGUGAACUCAGAAAAAAACACUUUGGGCUCAAAUUGUUUCUAUGAUUGCAGAGAAACUCUCGCAGCAACAAAUUGCAGGAAAAUUGAAAAUGUCCGAUGUGGCAGGACAACAAACAGUGGUAGAUGCUCACAAACAGGUUAUUGUCGUCCAGGUUGAGUGUGAGAUACAAAGCCAGGAUGAUUGGCAAACUGCAGCCUGAAUUGGACGGAUGUUUUACUGCCUUUUGAUGGAAAAUCUAUCAAUCAAUCAUCUUCUGAGGUGACACACAGGGAGCAAAUCUCAGGCGUGUGACUUUCACAGCAUUCACAUUCAUAGGACUGAAGAGGCUCUUUAUUUUGGAGAGGUUUUUUUUUUUUUUUUUCCUUUUUCUGACUUUAAAUGAAGCAGAAGUUUAUUUAUUUCCCAGUGGGACAGUGAACCCAAAUCUGCAGCAGAGCUCCAGGAUCUGCUGCUGUUCAUGCAAACACUCCGAGCGCCUGCAGUGACAAAAAAAGUGACAAAGUUCAACCUCAGCUGCAGAGUUCAGACACAGAAUCACGCAUGUGAAUACAGAGGUAUGAGUAAACUGUUCUCCAUGAAGACCACAAGCAUAAAUAAUCUUCUUCAAACAAGAUCAGAAUGGUACAAAGGACUGUCUCUUUUCACUAUUUUCUCUAAUUAGAAACAUUUAAAUACAUCAGAGAUUAGGAUGCAUAUCUGCAAAAUGUCUAGUUAAAAUUCCUGAUAAAAACAGAAAACAGUCUCCGAUAAAUAGGGAAACAAGGGGUGCAAGAAUAGACAAAAACCAAGUCAAUUUAUGAUGCACUUUUUAAACAGGGCUUAAAAGAGCUCAUAAAAGAGGAUCAGACAGACAAACAAUGACAAAGAUUUAAAAGUUAAAACAAAAUAACAAUGUUGGAUAAAAGAUAAAAAGAUAUAAGAGACAGAUAAAAGAUAGCAAUAAAGAAAUAAAUGAAAGAUAUAAGCAGUAGAUAAAAGAUAAAUUAAAAUAUUUAUUUCACCAGAGGAAAAAAAACACACAAUUAGAUUAGAGAAAGUAAAGUAACACUGAAAGAAUAAAAUAAACAAAAAUGUAAAAACUUUUAACAAUCAGGAAGAUCCUAAAUGUGAUCAAGACUUAACCUGGAAUAAGAGGAUUAAAACACAUCCUCAGAGAAAGUCUCCUCAAAAGCAAAUCUAUACAAAUAUGUUUAGGAAAAGACAUUUUUAAGAAAGGAAAAAUGAAAACGUGACUGACCCGAUCUCCUUGGUGUCAGUUGUUCCAGAAAAUCAAGACUCGGACAUAAUUUUGCCCACCAAAAGUCCAAAAGUCAGCAGAUCUUUUAUGUCAGAGGGCUCCAGUUCGUGACCGGACAUGUCUGAAGUUAGGGGAUCAGAAACAUAGAUUCGAGUUUAAGUCCAGAGCUUUGGCUAUCUGGAGCCAAUGAAAGAAGCCCAAACAGGAGUGGUAUGCAUUUUGUACAAGGUGUUUGUUACCUGUGUUAACACAAAGAGAACCACGAAGACCUAGUCGUCUACAUCAGUGGUUCUCAAGUCCAGUUCUGGAGGCCCACUGUCCUGCAUGUUUUGGAUGUUUCCCUGCUCCAACACACCUGAUUCAAAUGAUCAGCUCGUUAUAACAGCUUGAUAACGAGCUGAUCCUUUGAAUCAGGUGUGUUAGCCCAAACACUGUUCUACAUGACCCUUGAAAUACUACAGAGACUAGUGAGCCAUAUGUGGGUGUUUCUGCUUGUUUUGCUAAAGUUAAACUAUUUUCCUGCAGAUGGAGGAACAUUUAAAUAUUUUAUGUUCACAAAUAGAGACAAAAACAAACUGACAGUUUGACAGGAAAGAGCUGGAAAAUUUAGAAACUGUGAACACUUACACCAACAUUUGUGUUUCUUUUGACUGGUUUGAAGCUCUUUGCUGAUUGCUUGAUGGUGUUUAUGUCAAACAUAGAAGGCACUUUUGUCCCAGUAGUAGAUAGAGGAGUGGACUUUUACCCGGACCACCUGAGUUCAAAUCCUACUCGAGCCUUUGCUAGUUUUAAUUUUGUGUUUGCAUUUUUGUCCUCAGCUGGAUGUCACCAAAACAAAGAAAACUUUGUUCAAAGUUCAAUUUGAGACAGUCAUGUGCACUUAUUUCUUAUCAUUGGUGUAAUUUUUCCUGAAAUGAGAAAGAAUAAUCUACAUGCCAUGCACUGGCUGUCCACUAGGGACACAAGGCAUAUCCCCAACUCACUUAAUUCAUAAACCGACCUGAAUACAAACAUGAUCUUAAACUGUUGGCAGUCUCUCUUCAUCCAAAUUAUGUUCCAAGAGAGUUCAGCCACAUCGUAACCAUACUUGUUUACAUGUAUUCUCCAUGAUAUCAUAGCGAGGAUAUAGCCUAAUCAUCUUGAGGCUUUUGUAAUCAUACCAGGAGACUUUAACCGUGUCACCCUCUACUCUCACCUGACUGAAUUUACACAGCUUUUCAUGAGUGUCCAGACUAAUGAAUUUCCCUUUGGAGAUAUAUAAAGUUCUUCAUUUCCUGUAACGCUUUCACACUGGGCAUGAACCAGACAAUGGUUUAGUUUGGUCCAGACUGAGACCACCUCUAUUGGUUCCCUGCUCCAACACACCUGAUUCAAAUGAUCAGCUCGUUAUCAAGCUCUGUAAUGGCUGAAUAACGAGCUGAUCAUUUGAUUCAGGAGUGUUGGAGCAGGGAAACAUCAGAAACAUGCAGGACAGUGGGCCUCGAGGACUGGACUCAAGAACGACUGGUCUAAACCAAGGUUCAAGGGAGGUUUCACUCUUGACAUUUUGCUUCGGACCAAAUGAAGUUGGUGUGAUGGCUUCUACUAAAAUUGAAAACCAUCUCUUUAAACAGGACAGCCUUGUCUGGGCAGCUUCAAGAGCUGAAUCAGGGUAAAGUCGCUCGAUGCUGAUAUGAACACGUAUAAUAUUUGCACUAAAGUAAAGAGCUCCUUCCUGAUUCUGCCUGACGCUUCAGAGCACUAGUUUGUUUGUGAGAGAAAGUCUGGAUGCUCUAAUGAAGAUGUUGUCAAUGAUAAAGGAUUAAAAGAGUGUGAAAUCCUCUCAGAGUGGGGGGUCUUUGUCAGAGCACACUGAGACGUCUCUAAUCAUACCUCUGACACCCUCUUCUCUCCUCCGCACACGCUUCUGCCUGCUGUCUGUCACCGGAGAGGGGGGAGUAAUGAUAACUUACAGAAUGGCUUCCUGACUAAACAUAGCAAAGCCCCUCCGGCGGCGGCUGAACCACUCCUGCUGUGCCUUACACCUCCUUAGCAAACACCAUGCUUGUCUAUUCCCCUCUUUUUGAGGAGGAGGAGGAGGAGGAGAAGGGACAUGUACCACUCUCUGCCAUGUGGGGGUGCUGUUGAACUUUGUCUUCCUGCAGGUGUGACACUCUCUUGUUGAUUCAGCUCAGCUCUGGAGGUUUAAAUUAAACAUUAAACGCUGAGGAAAAUGAGACGAGGGGAGAGGGAGGACGAGUGAAACAGAGGGAGGUAAAAAAAGAGAGAGAGAGAGAUUCUAUUCAUGAAACGUCGACUUUCUUUCUUUACUAAAUCUGACAUAACACAGUGGGUGGAUGAUUCAUGGCUCAUCAGGGACGUUCUGUUUUAGCAAAGCAUGAAGAUUUCACCGUCUUGAGACCUCUUACUAACAGUGUUACAGUAAAUAUAUGAAGCACCAGGAGGCUUAUUCAAAACGCUACAAGAUUACCUGCUCAGACAGGAAGAUACACCCUUUAUCACCAGCAGAUCAAACACAAGUGGAAGACAGAGGGGUCUCAAAUGUUGGGUUGUUGUCCAAAGUUGGGUUAGUUAUGUUUUUAAGAAGGUCAGCUAUGAAAGCUUCAAAAUAACCAAAGAGUGCAGACAGUCUCCUCCAGACCUGGAUCAGUUCAACUAAAACAUAUUUCUGUUUGACAAGGAUACUCUUUAAUUUUGCAACAACUUCAUGAAGUCAAAAGUGCAUUUCCCUGCGCAGGAUCCCUGCUUUCAUAUCAUUAAAGUGCCGUAUCAGUGUAUUUUUGCAGCAAAUAAGCAGGCUCUCAUCUCUGCAACAUAAAUACAUGUUCAAUCAAAGUGACUGUUGGAUCAAAAAGUUCUUAUUUUGUCCCUGACAGGCUCAGGUACAUGUAUACAUAUUUCAUACUAUUAGCGUCCUGGUUCAAUCUCCAACAGGGACCAACCUGUGAAAGUUUCCACAUGCACAUACCUGAGGUCACUCCGGUUCAAAGACAGGAUUUUAGAAGGAUGUUUUAGUGUAAAAUUAAGUUGGGGUUAAACACACUGUAACACCAAGUUAGACACCCCCUCGAGAGAUGAACGUUGCAGACCGCUUGCUUCUCUACGUAUACCAACUUUAGUAACGACCGCACGAUAGCAAUACACAGCGGUCUACGUCUCCACGUGCAAACCUCAACCAAAAAGCCACUCUAUAGCCACAAAUAAUGCUCAGAACAACUUCAUCAACAGUACAUAUGGGGUCCCAGCCAUAGUACUAGCCAUCAAACAUUUUUUUAGCUUUGUCUGAUUUUCUUGGCAAAGAGACCAAACACAACUCACCCACUCUCCUUCCAGCAGCCGCUUGUUUGUGGGGGGAGCCCUGACGAGUUGAUCACUGAGUGAAGUUGAGUUUCACAGCUCAAGGAAGAACAUUUACGAUUUAUGAUUAUUUAUGAUUUAUGAUAAUGCUAAAGGUCCUUUCACACAGGGAGUUUUUUUUUCGUGCGAUUACUUUUAGGUGUCAAUAUUUCACGUUUUCCCAUCCUGUGAUUUUUCGGCAUUUAUUUUUUUGUAUCAUGGACAUUUUUUCCAAGUUUUGCAUACUUUGUUUCCACUUCUGACCAAUCAGAUUGUUGCAACGUCUGAUUCACCGGUAUAUCCAACAUGGCCGACCGACUGAUCGGAGAACAGAGAGCUUUUUGUUAAAAAACACAAACAUCACAAAGAUAACGACCUGAAGGACAACUUUUGGAGAGUCAUAGUGUCGGAUUUCUCAUAUGACGAUAGUUUGUGUGCUUUAACAGUUUGCUAAACGUCUUUGUUUUAACUUUCAUCUGUGCUAAGUAACUUUAGCUCGUAAGCUAACAUGUUCAGAUACAACAUACCAUAUGUAUUUUCACUGUCUCAAACUCAAUCGCGUUGCUGUCACAGCACCAUUAGGUCUCUGUUGUUAUCUUACGUUUAUGGAUUAUAGUUUAAUGUGCUUAUCUGGUACUGGCCCUGAGUCAGUACAUGAAUACAUUAGUGCAUGGUGCCAUGAAGUGGGUCGCUUUGAUGUCUCCAAACCAGGGACCUUUUUUCUUACAUAAGAAACUUUCGGUAAGCCUUUUAAAAUUUAAAAUUACAAACAAACCAACAAGACAUUUCAAAAGAUCUGUGUCAUGAAAAUCAUUUUGUCGAUAAAGUCUGGGAUCCUUGCAAAGAGUAAAAAAAAAACAUCUCCAUCUUCAAUGAAAAGGUCUAUUACCGCAGGGAAACAACCCCAAACUAAAAGAUCGCCUCAGUCUGUCGUUCUUUUCAGUUUUCCUUUGCACACCAAGUUGACAGUUGUGUUUGGUAAAAUCUGUAAAUAUCGGAUAAAACCAUGAAUGCAGCAAAUUUAUCCUUUCUGUGCAUCACAUCUCUGCAGAUUUUUUUCUUGAAACUGAAAAAUCUGUCAGCCUUCACACCUCAGUGUCUGAACAAACCCGGGGACUGACAGCUGAUGAGUGAGAUGUGCAGCUUUUGAACACAAAGCUGGAUGUUAUAUCAGCACAGAUGGAAGCAUGGUAUAGAGACAGGCGCUUUCAUGUGUUUUUGCAUGUGAGAUCUGAGCUCAAACAGCCUCCUUCCUCAUCUUUAACCCAGUCAGAGAGCUGCUGCUGUCAUGUCCUCCUCCUCUUGGCGAUGCUCCGUUACAGAAACAAGCUUCUGUGCAACAUUAAUAAUCCUUUGUGACAGAGCAGCAGCAGCAAACAUUCAGAGGCAAUAAAGACAAAGUAGAAGUACAUUAUAUUGUUGCUUUUAUGAAUAUAUAUCUGCCUCUUACAGCCACUCUGGAGACGCUGCAGUGAUGUUCUGCCCCUGGGCACGCUGUCAGGUAUUAAACACUUUGCAGAGAAUUUUCAAACAGCACUAUUUUUAAACUCUCCUGCCAAUUUGCACCCUCUCUGGGUGAUUACCGCCAGAAUAACUAUGCUAAUUGUUUAAUAAGCGCACUUUGCUCUGCAUCAAAGGGAGAGAUUUUUGCAUACUUUCUCCCGCAAGUUCAAAGCUGUCGUUAUGGCGAACAAAUGGCCCGACCGUAGAGGGAGCAGGGUGAGAGGACGGCCAUGUAAAAGCCGAAUUAAACCAGCUUAUCAAAGGGAAAACAUGCGGCUUUUGUCAUAGAUUUGCUGUUGAAAUGCUAUGGGCGCCGUCUGUGCUCCAGGACCUGCAAAUCUUAAUUGGGAGCUGGUGUCAAGUACUAAUGGGAUUUAUUUUAUUCACGUUCUCCCGGCUGUACAGUGAGAAAAUCACCUUUUUGUGCACCUGUAUCUAGGGCUGGGCGAUAAAAUGAUAACGAUUUACAGUAUAUUAAAAAAUAAUUUUCCUCAGUUUCAAUAUAAAACAUUUUCAAUAGUCGGCAUUCUGGUAGCCAUGUUUUGGUAGACUAUAUGAAUAGCCAAUAAAAAGAGGAGUUGCUCCGGGUUCGCUUUGCGCUGAACCGAUCAUGUGCUGAAUUAGAACCAAAUAGCAAACAACUACGUAGUAGACUGCAGCUACACGCAACCAUAGCACUUUAACACGUGUAGCCGACAGCACUGUUGGUGAGAAAAAAAGAUAAUGAGUGCUACCCCCGGCAGAAAUGCAGAUGAAGACUCAACAGAUGAUGACAUUGGCUGUAUCCGAAAUGAAUCACUCAAUCCGUAACCCCUGACCCCCAUAUGGGUUUUUAAUAUAUAGUUGACUGUGUAGUGAACACAAUCACCGAAAGUUUCAAACACUAUAUGGCAAGACGCAAUGCAUGACGGGAUGCCCACCACCGUUGGGUGACCAUCGGAUGGUCACUACAUUUUGCAAUGCUUUAUGGGAAAUUUUGAGUCACCUAUAUAGGGCAUUGGAAUUGAUCACUGAGGUUUCGGACACCCCUUAAAAUGGCACUAACCCCCAUGUAGUCGCCUAUAUAGGGGUUAGGGAUCCAUUUCAGACACCCAUUGUAUAAAACACUGUCACGAAAAUGUCGGUGGUCUGAAGGUAUUUUGGUUGUUUUGAGGUUGGACAUGACAAAGAUUCUUGUGCAGGGCAAAUUAUGUCAAGUACAUGUUCUUGCAAAGUUGGGGAAUACCUCAAAUCUUUUUCACCACCUGAAGCACCUGAUUCAAAUGAUGAGCUCGUUAUCAAGCUCUGUAAUGGCUUAAUAACGAGCUGAUCAUUUGAAUCAGGUGUGUAGGGCCUCAAGGACAGGACUUGACAACCACUGGUCUAGCGCAACGCCUUUUGACAAAACAUCGAAGAGCCACAAAGACCUCACAGAGGCAGAUGCUUAUUGUUUUGUCAAAAAACAUGCAACCAAUCAGCACUGUUAAAUUCCAUUUUCUAGAUUCUGAUUUAUAUCGAUAUCGACUGAUAUGAAAAAGACAUAUGGUGAUAAAUUUUUUUCCCAUAUCUUCCAGCCCUACCUGUACCCAUGGAUUUCUGAAUGCAGACAUGAAAAUCCACCAAAGGUUGAUCAAGUGUGGGCCUUUGAUUUCCCCACAGAAAAAAAAAAAAAAUCUCUCCUUUCCUCUCUGCUGCCUACCUGCCAAGCUGAAACCACUCCUCCUUCCUUACAGCACCCUGAGGGGAAGAGUAGGUGAGGAAGGAGGAGUUUUGGUGUGACAGACGUGGCGUUGGCCUCGGCUAAGGAAGCAGAAACCCCUCAGAGGUCUGAGUUGACUGGCAGUUAGUCGACAAGGUCACGAUAGCAAAACUGACUGCAUGGCUCAGAGCCACCGCAUUAAUCCUCUCAGUCGGUCUGCAGCAGCGGCACACUUCUGACAUCUCAGACACUCCAUUACAUCACAUCUGGCUCUCCAACCAGAGGAAGCACGAAGGUCUUUGUAUGCAGCUGCAGUGACACCACACUCUCUAAAUCCUCCAGAAACCAAACCCUCAAAAAUAACUCAUGCAUUUUCUUUAACAUGGAAAAUCCUUCACUUUAAAGAAAUCAAAGCGCAAACAGAACCAAGGGUUUAAACUCAAAAUGCUCAAGUGUUUUGGCACACUGACACUCACAGGUUUCACUUUGUCAAUGUCUCUGGUGGAUUUUUUCAUCCUGCAGCAGUUUAACAGGCGGCCACCUCUUUUUUUUUAACCAGUGGAAAUGCUGCAUUCACACUUAUCCAAACAGUGCUGUAUUUAUAGUGGAUCUUCUGGCCUGAUUUAAAGGGAUAUUCCGGCGUGAAUUUGAGUUAUGGUCAAACACAUCAUAAAAACGCCACUCUAUAGCCACAAAUAAUGCUCAGAACUGCACCUAACUUUAUCAACAGUACAUAUAGGGUCCCAGCCAUAGCAAUAGCAUCAAACAAAAAGUCGCAAAAUUGCAUUGUACAGUCAGGCGCAUCAAAAUUCGCCUCUAAAUAUUUAUUUAUUUUGUGUCGUAUAUUUGAGUCGUUCCCGGUGUGUUAGGACCUUUAGCGUCUCGGUCUGAUUGCAUUUCCAUAAAGUAAUGAUCAUAAAUCUUCUUCCUCGAGCUGCCAAACUCUGCUGCACUUGGUGAUCAACUCGUGAGGUUUGAGCGUGGAGACAUAGAACGCUGUGUAUUGCUAUCGUGCGGUCAUUACUAAAGUUGGUAUAUCUAAAGAAGCAAGCAGUCGGCAACAUUCAUCUCUCGAGGGGGUGUCUAACUUGUUGUUACGGUGUGUUUGUUUGUGGCAUUCACAUUAUAGUAGGGUUUCGCAGUUUUAAACUUAGCUUGCAAACCUUGCAUAUCAUUGACUGUAUGAUGCGUCUAUUAUCAAACAGGCACCUUAUGGUGUUUCAUUCACCGAAAAGGCAUCCAGGGGGAACUUUUCUCCUUUCUUUUAAGUGGAAAAAAACUGUGUGAAAAAACAGCAGUGGUGUCAUAUGUAACCCUAAAUAACAAUUCAAACAUGUGAGAUUAAACGCCAUUUUUGAUGAUGAAUUAUUCACAUUCAACCUUGAUGAGAACUGUGAAACUUUUCAAAUUAAAGUCAAAUGAACUCACCAAAGAGAGAAGACUAGAUUUCUUUUUACAACUAAACGUCUGUCUCUGAAAACAUUUACUAUUCUUGAACUUUUGUGAGCAGCAGUUACACUCCUUAAGAUCAUUUUGUCCUCAUCUUGAUAAACUUGGUUGCAGCUUUUUUGCUUCUGGAAUAAAUUUUUGCAGAUUUGCACAAUUUAAAUGCCUGUUCGUGCUUGUAAAAUUUAUAUAUAUAAAUUUAAUAUAUAUUUAUACUAUUUGAUGACAGUUUUUGGAUGCAAAUAAACCAGCAUGUACAUGUUUUUCUGUUGGAUUCAUCAGGUAAAAGAAGUGCAGGGAGAAAGAGUGUGGAGUCUAUCAUUGUGCAAAACUCUGAACACUUAAAAUGGAUGUAACUGAGAGUUUUCUCUGGUUCAAACACACACACACUCUGAGCCAAGCACGCUCAUUGAUUUCUCUCUGUAUUGUAUUUGAUUUAAUCCUCCAUAUUUUCGCCUCCUCCUGAUUCCAGAAGAAUCUCAUUGUUUCCCUCCCUGUUGUGCUUGUUGUCAUUUGGAUUCAGAGUUUGUGUCUCCUCCUGUCGUCCUGAUGUGUUUUUUUUUUCUGAGUUAUUGUUGCUUUUUUAAUUCUUCUCUCGAAGAUGAUCGAUUGCAUCUUUUCUCUCUCCCUUAUUUUUUUUUUCUUUAUAUAAACUGAAUUUUCUUUAUUGUCACUCGGCUGCUGUUUUAUGGCCGCACAAAUAAACUCUAAGUUGUUUUGUCUGAGCAGUAGAAACACAGUCUGUACCGUCACGUCUCAGGAUAACUUUAGAUGCGGCACUUUACUUUUCUAAAUAACUCCUCGACAUAUUUUAGUGAUGUGGGAAAGCGGCAGAGCUGUCAGACAGAAAGAAAUGACUGACUCUUGUACUUUAAUUAUCGGAAAAGAAGGAGCACUUGAAUAUGAAUAAUAUUUCCUCAUUUCUCUUUCGAUCUUAAGCCUUACAGCUCAGUCAAAACUGAAGCUCCAAAGAUGUUAAAAAUGACCUCUGGGACGUGAAUUCACGUGUUUCUUUCGGCAGCAGUGGCAUCAUGUUGUGAUCUUCUACAUAGGGACGUUUGCUCUGACACAGGAACACUUUAGUUAUUGAUUGCAGCCAUUAACAAACCUCCAAUGAGUUAUUUCUGAAAUUAACGCGAGACAAACAGGCUCCUGGGGGCCCUGAGGAGCGGCUGCCUUUGUUUUCUGUUCUCAGACUCUGCAGAUGGAGCCUCAGGGUGCAGCAGACUCACCUGAACACCUGUCUGCUGAUGGAUGAACCCCGUUAAACAGCGGGCUGAUUUAAUAUCCAGACUGUGAUUCUGCUCACUGAAGGCGGCGUCAAACUGAUCACUCAUUAAACCCGCAGGUCCAGUCUCCUCAGUUUUACUUAAUUUUUAACAUUCGGCUCAGUUUUUUCUUUCUUUCUGUAUUUUAAGAUCAAGUUUUAUCUUAAAAGACGCCACAGUGUUUACCAGCAAAGUGACUUUAUUUAAAUUUAAAACACUGCUUAGAUCACUACUAUGCAUUUUUUCAGACUCUACUUCCUCUCUGAUACUUCCUUAACCUUCCUCCUGUGUUCGCUUUCAACCCAUGUCUUAAAUCAGCUGUAAAUUAAACUACAAUCAAUUCUCCAUCAUACAAUGUGAUUUUUAUCCCUAGGUUAACUUGUUAGCCUUCAUUAUCCAUAAAAAUAUUGCUUUUAAGUUUUUUUGUAGUGGGUCUCUGGGCCUUUCUUUGUCAGUAUCCCGCUCACACAGACGUCUAUAAUGAAUAGAUCUCACGUCUGGACAUGCUCGACAUUGUUUUUUGUGCAGGGGAAAACGAGGCAAAAUGAGAAUAUCCUAAAUCUUACAUGAAUGGUAGUGAUGGAAAGAACAGUUCUUUUGACUGUACUGACUUUAGAAUCCGUUCAUUAAAAGGAUUCAUUCAAAAGACUUGUUUACUGAAUCAAAGUCAUUCGGAAGUAGUUCGUUUCGUUCACCAUGUCAUUCACUGACUGACAUUUCGGUCACAGACUGUUUCGUUCACAUACUGAUACAUGUCGUUCAUUCGCUGAGAGUGGAUGAUGGGACUCCGCCCGCCCACUUGCUCGCCAGCUGUGUGUCGUUCGCCAGAGUCAGAGGUGGCAGUUCCACUCCUGACCGGCAUGCCAGGCUCGUGGCUGAGCUCAACUGAAGUGAAAAAGGAACUAAUCAGGUCUCGGAGUGAUUCAGUUCACGUCGUUUACUCAGCAGUUCCUUACUUUUGAAUGAACGACACAACACAAAUGAAUGGGUGAGGAUCUGACUGUCAGUGUGGUGCCUAAUAGUGCACUUAUGACUUCAUUUUUGGCUCUAAUUAUUGCUUUAUAAUCUUACCACGACCCUAACAUAAUUUCCAGUGCCAUAAUUUCAUUUUAAAAUUUAAUAAAUUAUUAUUAUUAUUAUUAUUAUUAUUAUUAUUAUUAUUGUUGUUGUUUUUAUCAUUAUUACUUUUUUUUUCUUUUUUCUUUUUUCUUGAUUUUAUUGAAGUAGAGGUUCCUGGCCAAGUCCAAAAGUCUUGGUUUUAAAUUAUAUUCAUUUAAAACCAAAAGCAGGUCAGUGCAGACCCUAACACAGGUGGCGGGUGAAGAUCUUUACAUGAAUUUCGGAUCAAAAAAGAUCUUUCUCACUCUGGUGUACUAAAAUAUAAUUAUUUUAACCCUUUGUCGAGAACAGUGGUUCUCGAUUCCAGUCCUCAAGGCCCACUGUCCCACAUGUUUUGGAUGUUUCUCUGCUCCAACACAUGGGAUUAAAUGGAGAAUGCUCACCUUACUGUUAAACACAAUUUUUUGAACAUCUUUGGCUUUUAAGUUAAGCCAGAAAAAAGUUCCCUCAGACACAUAUCAUGAGAAAGAUGUUCUAGUUGAUGAUAUGAACACAGACAGGAUCGUGUUCGGUGUUCUGGUGUAGGUGGAAAGGUUAAAAUGUGCAGAAAGCAAGAACAGUAAUCAGCUGGUCAAACUUUUGUUGGCAGCUUGGGAUAAAAAAUGAUCAUCUCACAUAGUUUGAAUCUGGUUGUCGACCUUUUAACAGCUCCUGUGGGUCAUAUUGGAGACUAGAUCAGUGGAGUUGCCGGAUUCAAAAGUCUUGAAACAUAUUAGAAGAAGGCCACAGUGACUUACAGGUCAAGUAAGGUCAUUAUUAACAUAAACCUGAAACAACAACCCUCCACAAACCAUAACCAGAGAGCUUUUUGUCUCCUGAAUCGAACAUGACAUGUAGGAUGUGAACUCUGCUCUCUGCUGUCAGAGUCCUGAUCUUUGCACGCCCACCUUCCACUCUGAACACCUCUGUGCUGUAAAUAAAUACAACACUUCCCUCACUUGAUGGAAAUUGGAAUAGAAAUCCAGGCAGCAAGUACGUUUUCUCACUAAACACCGCUGCUACCACAAAUUAACUUCCCACAAACCUGUAUCUAUAUCAGACAUGUUGAUUCUAAUCAGUACAGCUGUCUGCGCUGCCCAUGUAUACGCCGCAUUUUUCCCUUUUAUAAUGAUCCCCACUGCCAACCCAAACAUAUUUCAGUCCUCUGCUUCUUCUUGUGCUUUUCAUUUCGUGAAUCCGAGACAUGCUGCUGUAGCCAUUAUGCUGUUUGAGACCGAAAUGUUGCGACCUUGUUCCCAUAAAAAUACCAACAUCUCUGUUUGAGUUUGCUCCGGAGGUGGAAGUAGACACGCACACGGCUCUGAGCCUGACGGAGAGAAAAAAGGUCCAUUUUAAGGAUAAGGUAAAAAAAAGAAUCAAACCAAAGGCUGUUGGUGCUGGCUAGGAGAGAAAUUGAGCUCUUAGAAUGAAUACAGAUUUAAAUGACUGAAAGUACAAACAGGGUCAGACUCUUUUAUCGAAGAAAAAACACUCUUGAGUCUUAGGAAACCAGAAACAGAUCUGAUUUUUUCUUUUUAAACACAUCAGACUGAAGGUGCUGGUUUUGCUUGUUGGUGAAAUCUCGCCCCCCCACAUACAGAGACUAUGAUCUAGGAGGUGUACAGACUGGAUUUGAUUCCAACCUGCAGCUUUUUACUGCCUAUCACUUCCCACCUCGUCCCUUCUCUGUCCUCUGUUCUACCUUUAGGUAAAGACAUGAAGACCUCAAAACAAACCCACCAAACUCCACUGAAAAAAACGGUCAUUUUACACUGAAUACAGGAGUUGCUCAUCAGCUGCUGCAUUAAAUAGAUAUUUUUUCAUUAACAUAAAGUAACUUUGCUUUAUCAGAUAAUGGGCUCCAUUUUCUUGCCUCGCCGGCAGCGUGGCGUGGCGUAGGCGCAGUAUAAGUCAGGUUUGCCGCGCCGACAAGGUGUGCCCAAGCACAUUUUGGUAUUUUGGUAAGCGGCGCAGCCUGGCAUAAGCAUCCCCCCUCCCUAACUCAGCUCCUCCCACUGGCGUAAGUCAUAGAGAGGGAAGGAAUAGAGCGUGGAGUGGGUUUAACACAGCGGAGACCUGUUUUCGCCAAUCACAUAAGCUCCUUUCCUCACCUUUCAAUCCGCCACCGGCGAGGCGUAUUACAAUUUUCAUGAAGUAGUCAAAGAGAUCAAGAGACAAAAUAGAGCCCAAUAAGUUUAAUCACAGAACAGCAUUUUUUACAUUUCCUUUUUAGAUAUACUAGACUUUCAUACCAGUAACCCCUGUGUCACUGUGAGGUAAAAUUACUCUGCCAACAGGGUUGUUUUCCUGCACAGACUUAAACGGGAUAUGGAAGUUGCUGUCUACAGCUGUCAUAAUGAGCUAGAUUUACUAGGAUAGAGAUCUAGGUAACUCAGAUCUAAGCUCGUUUUUAUAGAAAAAAAAGUGGCCAACUUUUUUCAGCCAACUCCCACUUAACUGGACACAAGCAUAUUUAUUACGAGGAAGCUUUGAAGACAGCAAUAUAAAUAUAUAUAUAUAUAUAUAUAUAUAUAUAUAUAUAUAUAUAUAUAUAUAUAUAUAUAUAUAUAUAUAUAUAUAUAUAUAUAUAUAUUAUAUAUAUAUAUAAACCUUUUUAACUUCUGAACUGAGUUGGGACCAUGAAUCUCUUUCCUCUUCAAGCUCUUUGUUGAUACUUAAAAGCAGAUCAAAUAAUUUGAAAAUAGGUCCAUAUUGAGAGGACAGUUUGCCUAGAGGUAAAAUACUGAUGAUCAAAAGACAAACCCUAAUUCCAGUGAAGUUGUGAUGUUGAGAAAAAGGUGAAUUAAGAACAGACACGAUGAUUUGUGAAUCCUUCUCCAUCUGUAUUCAAUUGAAUAUGCUUUAGAGACAAGAUAUGUUUUUUCAAAUAUUCACUCAUUUUGAAUUUGAUGCUGAAACAUGUUCCUAAAAAGCCGGGACAGGGUCAUGUUUACCCCUUUCCUUUAACAACACUUAAUAAGAAUCUAUGAACAGGGGACACUAACUGUUGAAGCUUUGGAGGUUGAAGUCUAUCCCAUUCUUGCUUGAUGGACCACUUCAGUUGCUCAACGGUCCGGGGUCUCUGUUGUAGUAUUUUGCACUUUAUAAAGGGCCAAACACUGUCAAUUGGAAACAAGUCUAACCUUAGCCUUAACCUUAACCCCAAGCUAGUCUAGUACCUGUACUCUUUGACUCUGAAGCCAGGCUGUUGUAGCACCAGCAGAAUGUGUCUUGACGUUGUCUUGCUGAAAUCGACGGAGCUCUAAUGGCAGCAGAUGUUGAUCCUUAACCUGUAUGUGUCUUUCAGCAUUAAUGGACCACCAAACAUAUAAAGUAGCGAUGUGUUGGUUGUGAACGAACCGGUUCAAAGAGCCGGCUCUUUAACGUGAACGAUGGGAGCCGGCCCCUAUCUGUAAGCAUUUUUUUUUUCCUUUUUUUCCGCAUGCACAUGACUGUCAUGUGCAUGCUGAGUGCAACCAAUCACACAAGGAUACACCAAGCAGAGGGGGGUCUGUAGAUGCAAUGAAAACAAUUGGCAACAGCAAUUUACUGAUAUUAGAAAAUGAAAUUUUUACUCAUGAAUACUUCAGUUCAAAGGAUGUAUUAAAUUAUUUAAGAGGUAUGCGCACACAUAAAUACAUAUCAUAAGCCAAACAACACUAAAUUUAGCUGAAUUAUAAAAUGCUUAAGAGGUAAGAUGAAGAGCUGUUUGGGAGCUGAAAGAGUCGGUUCUUCUUGGUGAGCUGAAUGAUCUAGCUCACUAAAAAGAGCCGUAAUUCCCACUACUAUCAAAAAUUUGAAAAUUCUGUUUAUUUAUCUGUUCAUAGUUUAGUUUUAUUGGUGAUUUUUUAAAUUAAUAAAUUUAAUUAGAAAGCUGCACCCCUUAGUGCUCUCUGAUUAUUUGACUAACACCCAGUUUGAGUUAAAGCAGCAUGUGGUGACCUUUGUGAGAACAUGUGCCAUAAAUUAGUAUACACAGCACACAUACAGAUGCUUUUUAAAACAGAUUUAAAGGCUGGAGGUGCUUGGAAAUGGGAAAUGUUAAACCACAGACACACACAUUAAUCUACCUCACACUGCUUUAUGGAAAAGAAAGUUGAUUAAAUAAAAUGCAAAUUGGGAUUUUACCCUCUUCUUUUAAUGAAGCUGUGAGACAGUGGGAUGCGAUUGCUUCUAUUAAAAUUCAGCGUGUGAUUGUAAUGUGUCUUACUGCAUGACCACAGAUAAAGCUGAAAAUCAUUUCCCAGCGUGAGCACACAUGAGGGGAAUGUCACUCUCAGUUUUCUGCAUCAUUAUUUGCAGUCCAUCAGAACUACAUGCUAAUAUUUGAACUCCUAAAUCAUUUAUUUCCCCAGAGACCUGCAUUCGAGGAUCAAUCAGGGGCUUUUAUUCUGGAGGGACAACAGCUCAGCCGUCAUCCCUCCCUGUCUUUCAGGGACUCAGAGAUACUGUAAGCUUUGGUAAAUAAGGAGGCUUUGUUGAAGCUGCUCUGGGACUUUUCCCUGCACAGGUGUUCAGUCUGUGUACCUUUGUCAGGUAACUGAGUCUGUUUCUGCAGAUUAGACCUCACACGCUCAGAGGUCUCCUGAGCCUCGAUGUUCUGCCUGCUCUGAGUCCAAACAUUUAUCAUGCAGACAGAUACUGUAGCGGUGGCUGUUUUUUCAGAGUGCACUAAUGUGUACCCUGUAUGAUGGAGACAUACAUGAUGUAUGAAUCAAAAGUGCUGAGUGUUGGCUAUGCUGUGUGUGCAGGUUAAAGAAACACAAAGAAAAGUUAAAGUGGAAAACCCUUUUUUUAUUUUUUAUAAAAGUACACUGCAUUUGCAAGAUUUUCAAGGUGGCACUUUUUUAAGGAGUUGGGUUCUGCACCCUCAAAACCUGAUUUGGUAGGGUGACCGUACAUCCUCUUUUCCCCAGAGAUGUCCUCUUUUUUGGGGGCUGUCCGGCCUGUCCGGGGGAGUUUAUAAAAACCUUCAAAUGUCCAGGGUUUUGUAUGGAAGUUUUGAGUUUAUGUAGAGUGGACUCACUGAGUUAGAAGCACAUAAAAAAAAAACACUUGACUAGACCAUAAAAACCCUCACAUUUAUUACGCAUGACUCGGCAACUCCACCCUGUGUAGUAGUGGAGCAGCUUGGCUUUUAACUGGUUUUAGUAGACGGCAUCACAUCACUCCAAUUUUAGCCUCCCUUCACUGGCUUCCUGUCAGUUUUAAAAAUUGAUUUUAAGAUUUUAUGGAUUACUUUUAAAGCACUCAAAGGACUUGCUCCGAGCUACAUUUCAGAGCUUUUGAUACCUUAUGAGCCAACUCGCAGCCUCAGAUCCUCUGGCGAAGGCCUCCUGGUCGUUCCAAAGUCGAGGCUCAAAACUAAAGGUGAUAGUUCUUUCUCCAUCAGAGCUCCUCGACUUUGGAACGACCUGCCAAAAGAGAUAAGGCGGACAGCAGAGACAGUCACUUCUUUUAAGUCAAAUUUAAAAACUCACUUUUACAGACAUGCUUUUAUGUGAUGCCGUCUUUUCUCUUUUAUCUCUUUUACCUCUUUUAUCUUAUUUGGACUUACUAUCCUUUUAGCCUUUGUUUUAAUUAUGUUUUCUUCUUUGACCUUUCAGGCCCUUUAUUGAUUUUAUGGUUUUUUCCUGCUCAUUUUUUAUCAUUCCAUUUUAUCAUUAAUAUUACCAUCAUUAUUAUUUUAUUAUGAUUUUAUUAUCAAUAAUAUCCUCUUUUAUACUUACUAUCCUGUUUCCUUCUUUCUGCCUAUUUUAUGUUUUUAUUUUAGUUCUCAUGGUCUCAUUUUAUGUUGUAAGGUUCUUGUAUUGUCUGGGUUUCUUAUGAAAAAUGAAAUUGGCCUUCAACUCAGAGGCCUUGUUUUUAACUGAGCUUUUGUUUUUAUUUUCAUCUGCUGAUGUUCUGUGCUUUGCAACUGUUUUCAAAGCACUUUAUAAACUUGUGUUUUUAAAAGUGCUAUAUGAAUGAAGUUUACACACACACACACACACACACACACACACACACACACACACACACACACACACACACACACACACACACACACUCAGAGUCUGUUUUUUAGCACCUGCAAUAACAUGCUAUUUACAUAUUUGACAAGAAUGCAGAGGCUUCCUUUUGCCCCUGAAAAAAAUCAAAUUUCAAACACAACUUGACUGCUCAUUUCUCCAAAAGACAACCAUGAAGCUUCAUCCAAACCUGAAGCAGGCAGUUCGUGCAUGUGUACAGUAACCUGAGGGGAGUGAGGUGACUGCUUCUGAGGAGAACAUGAGCAGUGAAGAUUCACCUUGGAGCUAGAACAGGGACGUGCACAUGAUUAUACAGGGGCAGGGGCUCAAGUUUUUUCCAGUCGCUUAUACAAUAUGGAAAUUAAUGUGAAAUUAAAAAACAAAGUGUUAAUAGAAAGGUAAUGACUGUCCUGUGUCGGUGACAGUGAUAUCCAAUAGGCUAGGCACUCACGAGGCUGGCUGUGGCAAGUGUAAGUGAAAGCAACACGCACUGGCAGGAAGAACAGCAAACGCCGAUGAAGGAAAAGGGUCUUUGCAGUGAUGGGCGUUACCAAAGAGGGCGAUGGCCAGAGGCCGAGAAUGGGACGGGGAGGCAGCGCAUUGGGGGGGGGCGCGACACGGCUCGGGCCCGCCAGUGCCCCAACGGGGCCCUAGUUAUUAUUAUUAUUAUUAGUGUCCUCUUUUUGGGGAUUCAGAAUAUGGUCACUCUAGAUUUGGUCUGUUUUAGUGUAACCUAGUGUCACUUGUUCUUGUAGUAGGUGUGUUGAAAAUUUUUUUUUCUGCUCCGAACAUAGUCAUUAAUGUUUUUAAAUAUACAUAAUGUCACGUAUUUAAACAAAAACUAAAGGAAUGCAUGUUUUGGAUGUUUCCCUGCUCCAACACACCUGAUUCAAAUGAUCAGCUCGUUAUUAAGCCAUUACAGAGCUUGAUAACGAGCUGAUCAUUUGAAUCAGGUGUGUUGGAGCAGGGAAACAUCCAAAACAUGCAGGACUGGGGGGGCUUGAGGACCACUGGGGAAAUUUACUUUUGAAAAAGUCCAAUUUACAAAUAAAACCAAAAAAAAAAAAAAAAAAAGAAUGAAGGAGCAUAAAGAAACAAACAAACAAACAAACAAAAAAACAGACUCAAAAGAUACUUGGAAAUCACAAAGGCAUCAGGUGAGGAAGAAAUAUACCGUGACAUCUACACACAAUGACCCAACAAGAUGGAGGGCAACACAAGGACUAAAUGCACAGGGUAACGAGUAACGAGAGGCAGGUGAGGCACUGAGACACCUGUGCAGACAAUCACUGAGGAGGGAAAACACCGGAUGUAAAUCUAAACUUGAAACGCAAUUAUGACUACUACAAAACAAAACAGGAAGUCAAACUAAACCAGACACACAAGAGCAAAGAACUACAAAAUAACCCAAGAUUUACUGAUAACUAAUCUAAAGAAUAAAACACUGAGAACACGAGGGAAACAGGGUCAAACACGAACUGGAAACACACAAAUUAGGAUCACAGGAAACAGAAUCAAUAGGAGAAAUACUACUUCAUUAUAAACCAGGAAAAAACUAAAUUAACAAGAACCAGUCAUGACGUAUGAGUAAUUUUCUGCUCCCUCCUAAAAAUGAUGUUCCCAUUUAAUAUUGACUGGAGGUCUGUUUCCUUCCCUCUUUUUUGGUUGGUUUGGUUGGUUUUAAUGAAACCUUACAUGUCCACCCUUAGGUCUUUUUACUUUAACAAUCUAAGAGGUGGUCUGGUCUGUUUUACGGUUUAUUGCUUGUUUUAUGGAGGUUUUAUUGCCUUCUUACCUAUAGUUGGAUCUGUACCCUUGAGCCUCUGUUUUAUGGUCUGUUUUCAGCUUUUCUGAACUGGGACUCAGUCUAUUUUGAGUUAACUUUGACUAAAAUAAUGUUUACCGUGGCUUCUGUAAGUAUUUAAAAAAAAAAAAAAAACAACAUGUCUGAAGCAAAAUGUUGGUUACCUAUUAACAAGUUAAGAUGCACCGAUUAUAGCAUGGUGCACUAAACUCACAACAUAGUAAGGACUUGACUUAACACUGUAACACCAUAGCUGGUGACAUCGACAUUAACAAGUUCAGCACCAUGGACAACUCUUUGGCUGUAUUAAACUGCAGUGCUCUAGUUCUCUUGCAUGGCUGAGCAGCAGAUUCAGGACCAUGGACAGCUCCCCAGAGUGCAAUACUGACAGUGCACCACUGUAAAGUAAAAACGUGUACAUGUAUGCAUUUGUUGUUGUUUCGACAUCUAAUUCACUAGUAUAUCCAACAUUGCCGACCGUCUGAUUAUUUACUUGUCGGAGAACAGAGUGCUUUUUGAUUAAAAACACAAAUAUUACAAAGAUAACGACCUGAAGGAAAACUUGUGGAGAGUCAUAGCAUCGGGUUUCUCAUAUGACGAUAGUUUGUGUGCUUUAACAGUUUGCUAAACAUCUUUGUUUUAACCUUAAUCUGUGCUAAGUAACUUUAGCCUGUAAGCUAACCUGUUCAGAUACAACAUACCAUAUGUAUUUUCACUGUCUCAAACUCAAUCGUGUUGCUGUCACAGCACCAUUAGGUCUCAGUUGUUACCUUACGUUUAUGGAUUAUAGUUUAAUGUGCUUAUCUGG
RNAcentral lists this long non-coding RNA (34602 nucleotides) under Xyrichtys novacula (pearly razorfish). Lineage: Eukaryota; Metazoa; Chordata; Actinopteri; Labriformes; Labridae. The record is from RNAcentral.